Molecule: ribosomal RNA, 492 nt
Filed under: uncultured bacterium
Lineage: Bacteria
Description: partial 16S ribosomal RNA
Rfam family: Bacterial small subunit ribosomal RNA
Source: RNAcentral
AGUGAACGCUGGCGGUAGGCCUAACACAUGCAAGUCGAACGGCAGCACAGUAAGAGCUUGCUCUUACGGGUGGCGAGUGGCGGACGGGUGAGGAAUACAUCGGAAUCUACUUUUUCGUGGGGGAUAACGUAGGGAAACUUACGCUAAUACCGCAUACGACCUACGGGUGAAAGCAGGGGAUCUUCGGACCUUGCGCGGUUGAAUGAGCCGAUGUCGGAUUAGCUAGUUGGCGGGGUAAAGGCCCACCAAGGCGACGAUCCGUAGCUGGUCUGAGAGGAUGAUCAGCCACACUGGAACUGAGACACGGUCCAGACUCCUACGGGAGGCAGCAGUGGGGAAUAUUGGACAAUGGGCGCAAGCCUGAUCCAGCCAUACCGCGUGGGUGAAGAAGGCCUUCGGGUUGUAAAGACCUUUUGUUGGGAAAGAAAAGCAGCAGGUUAAUACCCCGCUGUUCUGACGGUACCCAAAGAAUAAGCACCGGCUAACUUCGUG